Molecule: ribosomal RNA, 483 nt
Filed under: Dyopedos bispinis
Lineage: Eukaryota; Metazoa; Arthropoda; Malacostraca; Amphipoda; Dulichiidae
Description: partial small subunit ribosomal RNA
Rfam family: Eukaryotic small subunit ribosomal RNA
Source: RNAcentral
GCAGCCCGCGGUAAUUCCCAGCUUCAGUAGCAUCUAUUAAAGUUGCUGCGGUUAAAAGGCUCGCAGUUGAAUUUCAGUGCCGGGUGUCGGUAGGUGGACGUUGGAGCGCGAGAUCAAAGGUUGUCUGUGCUCUGUGCUGCCUUCGGGCUAGUGCGGUGUGCGGCAGCCUCUCGUAUACUCCCGUCCGUAACAAGCCUCCGCAUCCGAGUACAUAGUGGCGGUCUGUUCGGUCGGUUGGGCUGUUCGCGGUCCUCUCGGCUUAGACCGCCGGUGUCACCCUGAGUAAAUCAGAGUGCUCAAAGCAGUCGUGAGGGAUGCCUAGUGUGUCCCGUGAAAAGUCUUGACGGAUCGUCUUGAGUUUGCAUGGCAUGUUGGAAGAUGAUGUCGAGCGCGGCCAGGAGCAGUAUCACUCGGUGGUGACGGCCAGCCUCGACGUAAUGAUUAAAAGGGCUUGUCGAGGGCAUUGGUAUUGCGGAGCGAGAG